Molecule: ribosomal RNA, 425 nt
Filed under: uncultured bacterium
Lineage: Bacteria
Description: partial 16S ribosomal RNA
Rfam family: Bacterial small subunit ribosomal RNA
Source: RNAcentral
GUGGGGAAUCUUAGACAAUGGGCGUAAGCCUGAUCUAGCCAUGCCGCGUGAGCGAUGAAGGCCUUAGGGUUGUAAAGCUCUUUCAGGGGGGAAGAUAAUGACGGUACCCCCAGAAGAAGCCCCGGCUAACUCCGUGCCAGCAGCCGCGGUAAUACGGAGGGGGCUAGCGUUGUUCGGAAUUACUGGGCGUAAAGCGCACGUAGGCGGACCAGAAAGUCAGGGGUGAAAUCCCGGGGCUCAACCCCGGAACUGCCUUUGAAACUCCUGGUCUUGAGGUCGAGAGAGGUGAGUGGAAGUCCGAGUGUAGAGGUGAAAUUCGUAGAUAUUCGGAGGAACACCAGUGGCGAAGGCGGCUCACUGGCUCGAUACUGACGCUGAGGUGCGAAAGCGUGGGGAGCAAACAGGAUUAGAAACCCGAGUAGUCC